This 316-nucleotide long non-coding RNA is filed under the name Mytilus galloprovincialis (Mediterranean mussel). The record is from RNAcentral. Lineage: Eukaryota; Metazoa; Mollusca; Bivalvia; Mytilida; Mytilidae.
UGGUAGGUAACUUUUUUGUUUAUCUAGGAAGGUCGUCAAAUCAGCAAAUAGUACAAACAAAACUACUCCACCAAUAAUAAUAAUUCCUGUAUAUCCCAUGAUUUUAGAAGAUAGUCGACCAUCAUAUGCAGAUGUAUGCCGUCGGAUAUAUCCGUUCGUCGAGCGUUUGUCAAUUUUAAAAUUCCAACUUUCUUCGGGCAAAUUUGAUCGAUUAGAAAGCAAUUGACAACUGCAUACUUGAGUGCUGUUGAUAAAGAAGGUUCCAAGCAUUGUGCACUCUACUGGUAUAUACUCUGUACUUGGUUUAAAUGUGGUU